AUUGAUUCAGAUGUCAUAAUUAAAUGAGCCUGAGACUGAGCUCAGAUAGAAACUGUUUGGAAAGAUGGAUAAAGAGUCAGGAAGAGAGAUGAGUUAGAGUCUCUUUCUCUAAUAGUACUUGUCAGAAUUUCAAGGGUGAGAGAUUCUAUCAAUUGGAACGAGAAUGGUGUGGGUGUGAUGGGCUUUGGCACCUUAUCAAUUCUCUCCCUUCUAAGAGAGCAUGUGUGUGACAUCUGUGAUUUACUUCCGAUCUACCAGUCUGGUGAGCAUGAGUCUUGAGUUUGCUGCCAAAUUACUGUACUCGUCUCCAUGCUAAAAGGCUGCUGUCAUGUUUAAGACUGUCAGAAAUUCAGAUCUUUCCCACGGGUGAUCCCAGAGAACACAUAAAAUAGGGACUUUUUUGCGUAUGGAGAAAAAUAUGUGGAAGUUAUGCUGUUGCAAAUCAAUUUAUUUUAUACCAGAUUAGCCCUCCCAAUUUCUGCAUAUAUGGUUUAAACAAUAUUAUAGCUGUAUCAAUGGAAAUAUAAAAUGUAAAGACAAAUUGUCUUAUAACCUCAACACCCC
RNAcentral lists this long non-coding RNA (564 nucleotides) under Bos taurus (domestic cattle). Its description in RNAcentral is "long non-coding RNA NONBTAT025845". Lineage: Eukaryota; Metazoa; Chordata; Mammalia; Artiodactyla; Bovidae. The record is from RNAcentral.